Dipodomys ordii (Ord's kangaroo rat) is the source of this 112-nucleotide non-coding RNA. Lineage: Eukaryota; Metazoa; Chordata; Mammalia; Rodentia; Heteromyidae. The record is from Rfam.
GCCAGGAGGUUGAACAUCCUGCAUAGUGCUGCCAGGAAAACCCUAUUCCAUACUAAGAGGGAGCUGGCUGUUUGCAUAUGUAGGAUGUCCCAUCUCCUGGUCCACGUCAUCA